CAAGUAAACUAGCAUUUCCUGGUAUUGAUGAAAUUCCCACAGCUGCACUGGUAUCUCCUGCAGAUGUCUACAAAGAGCCCAGAGGGGGGGGGAAAUCAAUGUACAUGAUUGCAAAUAUACAGUACUUCAAUAAAUCUGAACUAGAUCAUGAACAUUCAACACAUGUGUACAUGACCAAGAAUAUCAUGGAGUAAGUAAACAAAGAAAAGAAAUAAAGCAAAACGAAGCAGUGAGAACUCAUAAGUUCCACUUACAAGAUUAUACUUUAUAUACAUGCUUAAAAUAAUGUUCAAUUAGACUACUUUACCCACAAUGAUUAGAAUAGAAUUUCCAAAGAUCGACAGGAAUAUUAGUGCCAUAAAGUGAAAGUUCAGUUAUUAUAGUAGCGAGUAUAUAUUCAACCACAUGAAAGAUUCAUAAAUCCAAAGCCUUACGUCAUUUCUUAUCAUAAGCUUCUCAUCAAACAGGCAGGUGCUACCAUGCUAGAGUCCCCACAUAAGUCAGCCACAUCAAGAAAGGGGCCAAAGUGGCAGUCUUGUGAAUUGACUAGUUAUGUUGAAAUUAAAAUGUGAAAGAUACUUCACCACAAACAACUAUUUCACCAUUUAUGGAAUGUACAUGAAUUGGCAAGGGUCAGAAUAAGUAGAGCUUGGAGUAUGGCUAAUGUAGAACAAAGGGAAAGAACCCUAAUUCAAUCCUAAUUA
RNAcentral lists this unclassified non-coding RNA (704 nucleotides) under Hevea brasiliensis (rubber tree). Lineage: Eukaryota; Viridiplantae; Streptophyta; Magnoliopsida; Malpighiales; Euphorbiaceae. The record is from RNAcentral.